GAACAUGUGUGUAGAGACACACGCAAGGCUCAAAGCUUCCAAAAUGGAGUAAAAUGAUUUUGUUGUUGUUGCUGAAGCUUUUGCGUGAGAGAGAAGAGUAAAAGGUUGUUUUCUAACUUUGGAAAAUGAAUAAUGAAUAAUGAAGGACACUGGUAGUGGUGUGUAUGGGUGGACAAUGGGUGGGUGUGGGCCCAAAAUGUCCAUCCGACCCAAACCGCAUGUGUUAUUACGAGGUCCAUAUCAACCCAUAUUUUAUUUCGGUUUUUCGGGUUGCGGUUUUUCGGGUUCGACAGAUCACUCGGUUUGGUCUGUAUGGGUCAUGAAUAAGAAGAAAGAUGAGGAAAACAAAAUCAAACAAAGUAACCAAUCUUCUCCAGAAAAAUAGAAUAACAGAUCCAAAACUAAAAAAUCCGGAUCUGUAAAAAAUAUAAACAAACAAAAGCAAUGACAAACAUUUAGAUCUGCAAAUAUAUAGAGUUGUUUUGAGAGACAAGGAGUAGAAACAAAAAUUGUUGGCGUUGUAUAGUUGGCCUCAUUUUGCUAAAACAUGUGAUCUUUCCUGAUGUGGAACUACAUGCUUCCAUCAUCCAGUAUAAGCAAGAUGUUCGGUACAAUGCUUCAACAUUGGAUACCACANNNNNNNNNNNNNNNNNNNNNNNNNNNNNNNNNNNNNNUAUGGAAUCCACAAUAAAUGUUCGUUUGUGAUAAGGAAAACGCAUAAUUAUUAAUGGAUCUCGUGAUCAAGUGUUGCUUGUUAAUCAGAUCUUCAAGUUAAGGAAACAAAACAUUUUAAUUGAAGAAUAUUCCUUGAAGGGACCGUUAAUCAUGCUGAGCUAUUGAAGCCUAAUUGAAGACCUAGGCUGAGCUCGUGAAAGUUAUUUAAAGAAGGUUGACUCCAUUGUUCAAUUCACUGAAACUAGAUUUGAGUCUUACAAAGCGUGAGUUUAGGUUUUAGUAUUGUGUCCAUUGUGUUCUAAGUCUUGUGUUGAUUUCCCACUAGACUAGGAACUGUGUGUUUGUGCAUUGUAAUAUCUCUGGAGCUUCUAAGCAAGGAGAUAGUGUGUGUAUACCAUUCCAAAGCUUUUAAGCACGGAAGUGGUGUAAGUGUUUUAUGAAGUGUGUCUUCACAUAUUAAAUCUUGUAUUGUACGAUCACAGUGGCUGUGAUCAAGAGGAGGUGAGCGGAGGUUCUCAUACCUAGGUGUGUCUUAGGUAGGAUAUAGCACGGGUGGUAAUUAGGUGAGAAGUCUUAAACGGGAGGUUUAUUGAGGGCUNNNNNNNNNNNNNNNNNNNNNNNNNNAUGCUGAACUGGGUUAACAAAUUACUGUGUUAAUUUACUUUCAGUUCUGUUUAGUUUAUUAUUCCUUGUGUAUGCGCUGUUGGAUGUUGGAUCAAUUAUUCACGCAUUAAAAGUGUACUAUAGUGGUGAAGCGUUGAGUACAACAUCUUAAUACUAGUGUGCCAGAAUUUCAAAAAUUGUUGGAGAGGAACAAAGUAAUAGAGAAUAAUUCACAAACAAAAAAUGAGAGUAGAAGAAAUUAGAAGAGAAAGUUUGGGACUUGAACUUGAAAGAGAAAACAGAGAAGAGAUGAGUGCACAGCGGCUGUUGCUAGGGUUUGGGGAUAACAA
RNAcentral lists this long non-coding RNA (1628 nucleotides) under Trifolium pratense (red clover). RNAcentral's name for it is "long non-coding RNA (TPRA_LNC004544)". Lineage: Eukaryota; Viridiplantae; Streptophyta; Magnoliopsida; Fabales; Fabaceae. The record is from RNAcentral.